GACGAACGCUGGCGGCGUGCUUAACACAUGCAAGUCGAACGGAAAGGCCCUGCUUUUGUGGGGUGCUCGAGUGGCGAACGGGUGAGUAACACGUGAGUAACCUGCCCUUGACUUUGGGAUAACUUCAGGAAACUGGGGCUAAUACCGGAUAGGAGCUCCUGCUGCAUGGUGGGGGUUGGAAAGUUUCGGCGGUUGGGGAUUGACUCGCGGCUUAUCAGCUUGUUGGUGGGGUAGUGGCUGACCAAGCCUUUGACGGGUAGCCGGCCUGAGAGGGUGACCGGCCACAUUGGGCCUGAGAUACGGCCCAGACUCCUACGGGAGGCAGCAGUGGGGAAUAUUGCACAAUGGGCGGAAGCCUGAUGCAGAAACGCCGCGUGCGGGAUGACGGCCUUCGGGUUGUAAACCGCUUUCGCCUGUGACGAAGCGUGAGUGACGGUAAUGGGUAAAGAAGCACCGGCUAACUACGUG
This 468-nucleotide ribosomal RNA is filed under the name uncultured bacterium. Its description in RNAcentral is "partial 16S ribosomal RNA". It matches the Rfam family "Bacterial small subunit ribosomal RNA", at positions 28 to 507 of the family's 1533-position model. The record is from RNAcentral.